AUGUAGCGCUUGUACACUGCGGUCCUGCGCGCCGUCCGCCCGCCUGGCGACUGCUUGCGAUGUUUUGUCAGCC
This 73-nucleotide small RNA is filed under the name Xanthomonas sp. LMG 8992. RNAcentral describes it as "sX9 sRNA". It matches the Rfam family "Xanthomonas sRNA sX9". Lineage: Bacteria; Pseudomonadati; Pseudomonadota; Gammaproteobacteria; Lysobacterales; Lysobacteraceae. The record is from RNAcentral. RNAcentral also lists the same sequence under 1 other name.